UUGUUGAGCAUCCAUGUAACCAGCAUCAACAAGAACUUUCUCUCUUUUGGCCAACUCAACAUCCUCAUCCACCAUCAUCUUCACUAAUUGCUCGAACCCGACUCUGGGCUUCCAACCCAAAACCUUUCUCGCCUUGCUCGAAUCUCCCUUUAGAUUAUCCACUUCUGUAGGCCUAAAGUAUCUCUUAUCAAUCACCACAUGAUCCUUCCAAUUCAAUCCAACGUAUCCGAAUGCCACCUCCAAGAACUCCUCCACCGUAUGCGACUCCUCCGUCGCCACCACGUAGUCGUCCGGCCUCUCUUGCUGCAGCAUCAUCCACAUUGCUUCCACGUAAUCCCCGGCAAAACCCCAGUCCCUGGAUGCCUGCGAAGUGCACAAAUAGCCACUUUUAGGACUGCUAUUUUAAGCAUUGCUGAAAUUAACAAAAAGUUCAAAAUUAAACUGCCUCUUCAAAUUUUUGGAACUUCGAGCUUUCCAGUUAAAACCGCUACUUGGUAACAUUCAUAUUUUUGAAAAAAUAACCAAUGUCCUGGAGUUUCAAAUCCCACUGGUGAAACCGAAACUGCAGGACAUUACAUUGACUAUUUUUAUAGUAUUCGAGCUGAAAAGUAGUACUAGUAUUUUUUAUUACAGAAGCUGAAAAGUUAAUAUUUUAAUGAAAAAUUUCCCCAUUUCUACCUGCAAAUUACCCAGAAACAGCUUGCUCUGUAGCCCAAUUUUGAUCCGACCAACAGCCCGAGUGAUCUUCCGGGUCACGAAGUUCUCGCCCCGCCUAGGGGAUUCAUGAUUGAAAAGAAUACCAUUACAGGCAAAGAUCCCAUAGGCUUCACGGUAAUUAACGGUGUACCAAUGCGCAGCACACUUGGAUACAGCGUAAGGCGAUCUAGGAUGAAACGGCGUAGUUUCGGACUGGGGCGGAGGAGUAGAUCCGAACAUUUCGGAUGAACCGGCUUGGUAAUACCGGAUGUGGGACCUACCAGUAGCGGAAAUGUGAGAACGGACAGCUUCGAGAAGACGGAGAGCACCGGUGGCGACGACGUCGGCGGUGUAAUCGG
This 1055-nucleotide long non-coding RNA is filed under the name Nicotiana tabacum (common tobacco). RNAcentral's name for it is "long non-coding RNA (NTAB_LNC010249)". Lineage: Eukaryota; Viridiplantae; Streptophyta; Magnoliopsida; Solanales; Solanaceae. The record is from RNAcentral.